Molecule: ribosomal RNA, 433 nt
Filed under: uncultured bacterium
Lineage: Bacteria
Description: partial 16S ribosomal RNA
Rfam family: Bacterial small subunit ribosomal RNA
Source: RNAcentral
AACGAACGCUGGCGGCAUGCCUAACACAUGCAAGUCGAACGAGACCUUCGGGUCUAGUGGCGCACGGGUGCGUAACGCGUGGGAACCUGCCCUUAGGUUCGGAAUAACUCCCCGAAAGGGGUGCUAAUACCGGAUAAUGUCUUCGGACCAAAGAUUUAUCGCCUUUGGAUGGGCCCGCGUUGGAUUAGCUAGUUUGUAGGGUAAAAGCCUACCAAGGCGACGAUCCAUAGCUGGUCUGAGAGGAUGAUCAGCCACACUGGGACUGAGACACGGCCCAGACUCCUACGGGAGGCAGCAGUGGGGAAUAUUGGACAAUGGGCGAAAGCCUGAUCCAGCAAUGCCGCGUGAGUGAUGAAGGCCUUAGGGUUGUAAAGCUCCUUUACCCGGGAUGAUAAUGACAGUACCGGGAGAAUAAGCUCCGGCUAACUCCGUG